CACGACACGACUUACAGGAGCACCACCUGAAGCGGACGUGCUGUGAGUUGUCAAGUCCAACGCCUUAGAAACAUUUACCUUUUAAAGCUGAAGUCUACUCACUUUUGAUGUACAGUCCAGUUAUUAUAUUCAAGUCAUUUACUUUAAAAAAUCUUUUUUACACCCAAAAUUAACUUACCACAUUUUCCGGAGAGAUAAGCGCUGGAUGAUCGGUCGUUCAGUCUGUUUCAUUCAGAGUUCAUCCAAGACGAUGUGCUUCGCCGUAACAUAACAGACAAACGACAUGGGAUAGGACAUGAAGUGACGCAGGAUUUAAAAAAAGUUAUUUCCGUUUUUGUUUAAAAAACUAGCAUAAUCAUACCUAAUAGAAAAUUUUAAUGUGUACUCAUUUAUAAUACACAGUAUAUCUCACAUACUUAGACAUAAAUUGUAUACUCUACUCAUUUACUCCGCUUUUUAAAAUUCUUAUCAUAGCCAAUAAAUAUAUCAGGGUCUUGUUUUGGUGAUUGUCAUUAUAAAAUGGCAAUAAAAUAAAACCUUUAAUAAUGUUA
Pomacea canaliculata is the source of this 551-nucleotide long non-coding RNA. RefSeq lists it as uncharacterized. NCBI's taxonomy places the organism in Eukaryota, Metazoa, Mollusca, Gastropoda, Architaenioglossa, Ampullariidae. The record is from RefSeq and is a predicted model, not a curated record. The transcript has 3 exons.